AUACGUAGGUGACAAGCGUUAUCCGGAUUUACUGGGUGUAAAGGGUGUGUAGGCGGUCUUGCAAGUCAGAAGUGAAAUUCCUGAGCUCAACUCGGGCGCUGCUUCUGAAACUGCAGGACUUGAGUGCUGGAGGGGAUAGCGGAAUUCCUAGUGGAGCGGUAAAAUGCGCAGAUAUUAGGAAGAACACCGGUGGCGAAGGCGGCUAUCUGGACAGUAACUGACGCUGAGGCGCGAAAGCGUGGGGAGCAAAAAGGAUGAGAUACCCUGGUAUUCCACGCCGUAAACGAUGAAUACUAGGUGUAGGGGGUAUCGACUCCCUCUGUGCCGCAGUUAACACAAUAAGUAUUCCGCCUGGGGAGUACGGCCGCAAGGUUGAAACUCAAAGGAAUUGACGGGG
Molecule: ribosomal RNA, 397 nt
Filed under: uncultured bacterium
Lineage: Bacteria
Description: partial 16S ribosomal RNA
Rfam family: Bacterial small subunit ribosomal RNA
Source: RNAcentral